GUCCACGCCGUAAACGUUGGGCGCUAGGUGUGGGGAACCUUCCACGUUCUCCGUGCCGCAGCUAACGCAUUAAGCGCCCCGCCUGGGGAGUACGGCCGCAAGGCUAAAACUCAAAGGAAUUGACGGGGCCCGCACAAGCGGCGGAGCAUGUGGCUUAAUUCGACGCAACGCGAAGAACCUUACCAAGGCUUGACAUAUACCGAAAACUACGUAGAGAUACGGGGUCCGCAAGGGCGGUAUACAGGUGGUGCAUGGUUGUCGU
RNAcentral lists this ribosomal RNA (262 nucleotides) under uncultured bacterium. Its description in RNAcentral is "partial 16S ribosomal RNA". It matches the Rfam family "Bacterial small subunit ribosomal RNA", at positions 793 to 1055 of the family's 1533-position model. The record is from RNAcentral.